AAAUUGAAGAGUUUGAUCAUGGCUCAGAUUGAACGCUGGCGGCAGGCCUAACACAUGCAAGUCGAACGGUAACAGGAAACAGCUUGCUGUUUCGCUGACGAGUGGCGGACGGGUGAGUAAUGUCUGGGAAACUGCCUGAUGGAGGGGGAUAACUACUGGAAACGGUAGCUAAUACCGCAUAACGUCGCAAGACCAAAGAGGGGGACCUUAGGGCCUCUUGCCAUCGGAUGUGCCCAGAUGGGAUUAGCUAGUAGGUGGGGUAAUGGCUCACCUAGGCGACGAUCCCUAGCUGGUCUGAGAGGAUGACCAGCCACACUGGAACUGAGACACGGUCCAGACUCCUACGGGAGGCAGCAGUGGGGAAUAUUGCA
RNAcentral lists this ribosomal RNA (371 nucleotides) under Escherichia coli. Its description in RNAcentral is "bacterial SSU rRNA". It matches the Rfam family "Bacterial small subunit ribosomal RNA", at positions 1 to 368 of the family's 1533-position model. The record is from RNAcentral. Lineage: Bacteria; Pseudomonadati; Pseudomonadota; Gammaproteobacteria; Enterobacterales; Enterobacteriaceae.